UACGUAGGUUGCGAGCGUUAAUCGGAAUUACUGGGCGUAAAGUGUGCGCAGGCGGCUAAGCAAGUCGAGUGUGAAAGCCCCGAGCUUAACUUGGGAAUUGCGCUCGAAACUACUUGGCUGGAGUGUGGCAGAGGAAGGUGGAAUUCCACGUGUAGCGGUGAAAUGCGUAGAGAUGUGGAGGAACACCAAUGGCGAAGGCAGCCUUCUGGGCCAACACUGACGCUCAUGCACGAAAGCGUGGGGAGCAAACAGG
Molecule: ribosomal RNA, 253 nt
Filed under: uncultured bacterium
Lineage: Bacteria
Description: partial 16S ribosomal RNA
Rfam family: Bacterial small subunit ribosomal RNA
Source: RNAcentral